ACUAGAGGUCGAUUUGGAGGUUGUGCCCUUGAGGCGUGGCUUCCGGAGCUAACGCGUUAAAUCGACCGCCUGGGGAGUACGGCCGCAAGGUUAAAACUCAAAUGAAUUGACGGGGGCCCGCACAAGCGGUGGAGCAUGUGGUUUAAUUCGAUGCAACGCGAAGAACCUUACCUGGUCUUGACAUCCACAGAACUUUCCAGAGAUGGUUUGGUGCCUUCGGGAACUGUGAGACAGGUGCUGCAUGGCUGUCGUCAGCUCGUGUUGUGAAAUGUUGGGUUAAGUCCCGCAACGAGCGCAACCCUUAUCCUUUGUUGCCAGCGGUUAGGCCGGGAACUCAAAGGAGACUGCCAGUGAUAAACUGGAGGAAGGUGGGGAUGACGUCAAGUCAUCAUGGCCCUUACGACCAGGGCUACACACGUGCUACAAUGGCAUAUACAAAGAGAAGCGACCUCGCGAGAGCAAGCGGACCUCAUAAAGUAUGUCGUAGUCCGGAUUGGAGUCUGCAACUCGACUCCAUGAAGUCGGAAUCGCUAGUAAUCGUAGAUCAGAAUGCUACGGUGAAUACGUUCCCGGGCCUUGUACACACCGCCCGUCACACCAUGGGAGUGGGUUGCAAAAGAAGUAGGUAGCUUAACCUUCGGGAGGGCGCUUACCACUUUGUGAUUCAUGACUGGGGUGAAGUCGU
RNAcentral lists this ribosomal RNA (685 nucleotides) under Klebsiella sp. RNAcentral's name for it is "bacterial SSU rRNA". It matches the Rfam family "Bacterial small subunit ribosomal RNA", at positions 801 to 1489 of the family's 1533-position model. Lineage: Bacteria; Pseudomonadati; Pseudomonadota; Gammaproteobacteria; Enterobacterales; Enterobacteriaceae. The record is from RNAcentral.